AAUUUGGUUCUUUUAAGAACCAACAACAAAAAAUAAAAAAUUUAUG
This is a non-coding RNA of Sus scrofa (pig), 46 nucleotides long. Lineage: Eukaryota; Metazoa; Chordata; Mammalia; Artiodactyla; Suidae. The record is from Rfam.